This is a small nucleolar RNA of Ochotona princeps (American pika), 148 nucleotides long. NCBI's taxonomy places the organism in Eukaryota, Metazoa, Chordata, Mammalia, Lagomorpha, Ochotonidae. The record is from Ensembl.
ACUGCACACUGUUAAAGCUCGGGCGGAGGCCUUCGUGGCCUGUGAGCUUCCGAGUGUCGGAGGUGUGCUACAGCAAUGGCAGGGUUUUCGCUAACACCACGAGAGCUUGGCUCUAUGACUGGGGUUGAUAGUACUCGCUGCCACAUCC